GCUGGGGUUGCUCAGAGGUAGAGCACUCACCUAGCAAGUUGGAGGCCCUGGGUUCAAUCCUCAGCACCACA
RNAcentral lists this transfer RNA (71 nucleotides) under Marmota marmota marmota (Alpine marmot). It matches the Rfam family "tRNA". From Rfam's summary of the family: Transfer RNA (tRNA) molecules are approximately 80 nucleotides in length. The record is from Rfam by way of RNAcentral. RNAcentral also lists the same sequence under 2 other names. Lineage: Eukaryota; Metazoa; Chordata; Mammalia; Rodentia; Sciuridae.